ACAAACUUGGUCAUUUAGAGGAAGUAAAAGUCGUAACAAGGUUUCCGUAGGUGAACCUGCGGAAGGAUCAUUACUGAAGGACUGGCUAGGUUGAGCUGACCCCUCUUAGGAGGGUUAUAUGCUCGUCGAGUCGCUUUUUCUUACUUUCCACUGUGCACCUUUGUAGGUUCUAUGAUGACUCUCAGGUCCUUUCGGACUUGGAUUCGAGGUCUUGCCUUUCAUUAGGCUUGUAGCCUCAAUGUUCAUAGACCUACAUUACACAAACUCUAUAUAAAAGUCUACGAAUGUUACUUUUUGUUGGUCCUAGACCGAUAGAAAAUCUAUACAACUUUCAGCAACGGAUCUCUUGGCUCUCGCAUCGAUGAAGAACGCAGC
This 375-nucleotide unclassified non-coding RNA is filed under the name uncultured fungus. RNAcentral's name for it is "partial contains small subunit ribosomal RNA, internal transcribed spacer 1, and 5.8S ribosomal RNA". The stretch from base 1 to 73 matches the Rfam family "Eukaryotic small subunit ribosomal RNA", at positions 1759 to 1831 of the family's 1831-position model. Lineage: Eukaryota; Fungi. The record is from RNAcentral.